AAGACUAUACUUUCAGGGGUCAUUUCUAUAGUUUGUUACUAGAGAGGUUUCUCUGAUAGUGUAGAGCACCCAACACCACGAGGAAGAGAUACAGUGUUCUCUAAAAAAAAUACAACUGAUUUCUGGAUAUCUAUUUUGCAUCCUGCUACUUUACUGAAUUCAUAUAUCUGUUAUAGUAGUUUUUUUUUCUUUGUUUAUUUUAGAGAGAAAGGAGGAAAGAGGG
Molossus molossus (Pallas's mastiff bat) is the source of this 223-nucleotide small nucleolar RNA. RefSeq annotates it as small nucleolar RNA U3. The transcript has a single exon. The record is from RefSeq and is a predicted model, not a curated record. NCBI's taxonomy places the organism in Eukaryota, Metazoa, Chordata, Mammalia, Chiroptera, Molossidae.